This 492-nucleotide ribosomal RNA is filed under the name uncultured bacterium. RNAcentral's name for it is "partial 16S ribosomal RNA". It matches the Rfam family "Bacterial small subunit ribosomal RNA", at positions 29 to 507 of the family's 1533-position model. The record is from RNAcentral.
AGUGAACGCUGGCGGUAGGCCUAACACAUGCAAGUCGAACGGCAGCACAGUAAGAGCUUGCUCUUACGGGUGGCGAGUGGCGGACGGGUGAGGAAUACAUCGGAAUCUACUUUUUCGUGGGGGAUAACGUAGGGAAACUUACGCUAAUACCGCAUACGACCUACGGGUGAAAGCAGGGGAUCUUCGGACCUUGCGCGAUUGAAUGAGCCGAUGUCGGAUUAGCUAGUUGGCGGGGUAAAGGCCCACCAAGGCGACGAUCCGUAUCUGGUCUGAGAGGAUGAUCAGCCACACUGGAACUGAGACACGGUCCAGACUCCUACGGGAGGCAGCAGUGGGGAAUAUUGGACAAUGGGUGCAAGCCUGAUCCAGCCAUACCGCGUGGGUGAAGAAGGCCUUCGGGUUGUAAAGCCCUUUUGUUGGGAAAGAAAAGCAGCAGGUUAAUACCCCGCUGUUCUGACGGUACCCAAAGAAUAAGCACCGGCUAACUUCGUG